GAGACGUGUCAAUAAAGGUCAGAACAGAAAAAUAAAAUAAAAAUUCUGCAUCUUCCCCGAAGGGCGCGAGGCGGCGAGCCUCACGCCCUCUCCCGAGUCCCGAGUGAGGACACGCCGGCGGAGGCCGAUGGCCCUAGCCGCUCUACCUCUACCUCUACGGGCUCCUGAACCGUGUCGGCGUUCACGAGGCAGGCGGUGCCUAGGUGAUGCAGGCGAGCUCCCCCUCCUCUCCUCCGCUGGUUGCUUCUGCGGGCCGUCUCUUUGCCCAGGUGCGGACAGAUGAAGGCGUCGAUUUGAUCAUCUGAAGUGGCCGGGAAUCCGCAAUCAUGCGGUGGCAUGCAGCCGUCCUAUUCGAUGACAAUGCAGUGGUAUCUUUCUGAUGGAGUAACUCGGAAUUAAGGUUAUCCUUUGCAUUGUCAAGGACAAGGAAGAAUCUCUUGUUCUGUAUGGUCCUGGAGAGAUCAUGUUCCGAACUAGCUUGGAGUGUUUCCAGACCCAUUUCAGAAUCAAAAGGAUGCUGUUCUGCUGCAAAAGAACAAAAUAUUUUCUUGAUGAAAUCCUCUGAGUCAGACCUUUGAGAGAGAGAGACCCAUCCUCUCUGAUUGAAGGCCUUCUUGACAUUAGGGUGGUUAUAGAUUACUUGAGCAAGUGCUGUUUUGCCUACCCCAGCCUCGCCUACGAUACAUACAACUUUCACAGUUGCAGUUCCCCGUGUCUCUUCCUGCAUUCUGGAUGCUGGAAAAUGUUCAGCUUGUGCUUCAUUUGGAAAUAUGAUGCUCAUUAAUUGGUCCUUCUCUUUCUCACGACCAUGGAACACUACUUGUAUUUCUGGAAGAAACCCUACCAUAUCCUCUUUAGAAUCAUUCAAUUUUAACAAGUCAAAAAAAUUUCCAGACUUACUGGCAAUCUUGUCGAGCCUUGCCAGGAGAGUCUUCAGUCUGUAUAUGUCAUCAUCAACAAAACCCAGAUUCUUCAUCAUGUAUGCCAGAAAACCGCUAACCUUGUUCUGUUGGCU
Oryza sativa Japonica Group (Japanese rice) is the source of this 1015-nucleotide long non-coding RNA. RefSeq lists it as uncharacterized. The record is from RefSeq and is a predicted model, not a curated record. Lineage: Eukaryota; Viridiplantae; Streptophyta; Magnoliopsida; Poales; Poaceae.